This 530-nucleotide ribosomal RNA is filed under the name uncultured Enterococcus sp. Its description in RNAcentral is "bacterial SSU rRNA". It matches the Rfam family "Bacterial small subunit ribosomal RNA", at positions 365 to 893 of the family's 1533-position model. The record is from RNAcentral. Lineage: Bacteria; Bacillati; Bacillota; Bacilli; Lactobacillales; Enterococcaceae.
AGUAAAUGGGCGUAGUCUGAUGCAGCACGCCGCGUGAGUGAGAGGUUUUCGGAUCGUAAAACUCUGUUGUUAGGGAAGACAAUGAUGAGAGUAACUGUUCAUCCCUUGACGGUUUCUAACCAGAAAGCCACGGCUAACUACGUGCCAGCAGCCGCGGUAAUACGUAGGUGGCAAGCGUUGUCCGGAUUUAUUGGGCGUAAAGCGAGCGCAGGCGGUUUCUUAAGUCUGAUGUGUAAGCCCCCGGCUCAACCGGGGAGGGUCAUUGGAAACUGGGAGACUUGAGUGCGUAAGAGGAAAGUGGAAUUCCAUGUGUAGCGGUGAAAUGCGUAAAUAUAUGGAGGAACACCAGUGGUGAAGGCGGCUCUCUGGUCUGUAACUGACGCUGAGGCUCAAAAGCGUGGGGAGCAAACAGGAUUAAAUACCCUGGUAGUCCACGCCGUAAACAAUGAGUGCUAAGUGUUGGAGGGUUUCCUCCCUUCUCUGCUGGAGCUAACCCAUUAAGCACUCCGCCUGGGGAGUACGACCCGCGG